RNAcentral lists this ribosomal RNA (496 nucleotides) under uncultured bacterium. RNAcentral describes it as "partial 16S ribosomal RNA". It matches the Rfam family "Bacterial small subunit ribosomal RNA", at positions 30 to 523 of the family's 1533-position model. The record is from RNAcentral.
AUUGAACGCUGGCGGAAUGCUUUACACAUGCAAGUCGAACGGUAGAGGGGGCAACCCCUCGAGAGUGGCGAACGGGUGAGUAAUAUAUCGGAACGUGCCCAGUCGCGGGGGAUAACGUAGAGACAGUUACGCUAAUAUCGCAUACGAUUUAAGGAUGAAUGCGGGGGAUCGAAAGACCUCGCGCGAUUGGAGCGGCCGAUAUCAGAUUAGGUCGUUGGUGGGGUAAAGGCUCACCAAGCCAACGAUCUGUAGCUGGUCUCAGAGGACGACCCCCCACACUGGAACUGAAACACGGUCCAGAGUCCUACGGGAGGCAGCAGUGGGGAAUUUGGAACAAUGGACGCAAGUAUGAUCCAGCCAUUCCGCGUGCAGGAUGAGGGCACUCGGGUUGUAAACUGCUUUUGUACGGAACGAAAAGAUCUCUCUUAAUACGGGGGGCUCAUGACGGUACCGUAAGAAUAAGCACCGGCUAACUACGUGCCAGCAGCCGCCGUAA